CGUACGGCUCAGUAACACGUAGUCAACCUGCCCUGGAGACAUGGACAACCCCGGGAAACUGGGAUUAAUCCGUGAUGGGUCAUCUCAUCUGGAAGGAGAGAUGGCUUAAAGGGGUACGCGGGCUUCUUCUGCGUAUUCGCUCCAGGAUGGGACUGCGUCCGAUCAGGCUGUUGGCGGGGUAAUGGCCCACCAAACCUGUAACCGGUACGGGCCUUGAGAGAGGUGGCCCGGAGAUGGACACUGAGAGAAGGGUCCAGGUCCUACGGGGCGCAGCAGGCGCGAAACCUUCGCAAUGCGCGAAAGCGUGACGAGGUUAAUCCGAGUGACUUCCGCUGAGGAGGUCUUUUGUCAGCUGUAAAUAGGCAGGCGAAUAAGGGGAGGGCAAGCCUGGUGUCAGCCGCCGCGGUAAUACCAGCUCCUCGAGUGGUCGGGGCGAUUAUUGGGCCUAAAGCAUCCGUAGCCGGUUCCGUAGGUCCUCUGUUAAAUCCAACCGCUUAACGGUUGACCUGCAGAGGAUACCGCGGGACUAGGAGGCGGGAGAGGCGGACGGUACUCCGCGUGUAGGGGUAAAAUCCUUUGAUCCGCGGAAGACCACCAGUGGCGAAGGCGGUCCGCCAGAACGCGCUCGACGGUGAGGGAUGAAAGCUGGGGGAGCGAACC
This 660-nucleotide ribosomal RNA is filed under the name uncultured archaeon. RNAcentral describes it as "bacterial SSU rRNA". It matches the Rfam family "Archaeal small subunit ribosomal RNA", at positions 82 to 725 of the family's 1478-position model. The record is from RNAcentral.